This 253-nucleotide ribosomal RNA is filed under the name uncultured bacterium. Its description in RNAcentral is "partial 16S ribosomal RNA". It matches the Rfam family "Bacterial small subunit ribosomal RNA", at positions 524 to 776 of the family's 1533-position model. The record is from RNAcentral.
UACGUAGGGCGCAAGCGUUGUCCGGAAUUAUUGGGCGUAAAGAGCUCGUAGGUGGUGUGUCGCGUCUGCCGUGAAAGCCCGGGGCUUAACUCCGGGUCUGCGGUGGAUACGGGCAGACUAGAGGCAGGUAGGGGAGAACGGAAUUCCCGGUGUAGCGGUGAAAUGCGCAGAUAUCGGGAGGAACACCGGUGGCGAAGGCGGUUCUCUGGGCCUGGACUGGCGCUGAGGGGCGAAAGCGUGGGGAGCGAACAGG